This 2264-nucleotide long non-coding RNA is filed under the name Prunus dulcis (almond). RNAcentral's name for it is "sRNA ncRNA". The stretch from base 127 to 288 matches the Rfam family "MIR168 microRNA precursor family". Lineage: Eukaryota; Viridiplantae; Streptophyta; Magnoliopsida; Rosales; Rosaceae. The record is from RNAcentral.
AGAUUUCAUAGGGUUAGAGUAUAAGAGCCAUCUAUAAAAAUAAAAAAUAAAAACAACCUCAAAACAGACGUAUUUUGCUUUGCUUUUGCUCUGAGAGGGAGGCUUGUGUUGUGGGCGUUGAUUCAGUUACUGGCGGUCUCUAAUUCGCUUGGUGCAGGUCGGGAACUGCUUCGCGUUUAGGGCCUUUUUUUCGUACAAGACCUAUGAGCCAGGUGGCGCCAUGGUAUUGGUCGGUGGGUGCGAAAUGGGUCCCGCCUUGCAUCAACUGAAUCGGAGACCGCGGUGAAGAGGGGGGUUGGGUUGUUUGGUGGUUCAUGGAUCUCGCGUUUUUUGCUUUUGCUCGUUUCUCAGAUCUCAUCUCAGGUUGGCCACUUCCAACAAAUAUAUAUCUAUAUAUCUAUAUAUCUAUGUAUCUCUAAUCUGUAUAUAUUCUUAAUUAAUUAACAAAAAUUUUGGGUAAUAAAAACAUAAAAUUUUAAUUACAUGGGUGGAAAAUCAAUAGAUCUUUACCCAUUUCAUUAUAUGCUAACACAGAAAACACUAAUUUCCUAUUGUUUUAUCUGGAAUAGGUUUUUUUUUUUUUUUUUUUUUUGCUUUUGUUGUAAGGGAAAUAGUUUUGGUUUCUUGUUUUCUCUUUCGUUGCUGUGCUUUUCUUUUAUGAUUUUUUUCCCGUAGUUUAGAUUAGAUUAAAGUAGAAUAUCGUAUGUAUCCACAUCUAAUUGUUGGAUCGAUAAAGUUGGUAAUUAUUCCAAUUUCCACUACAAGAUUUUGCUUUCGCUUUCGAUUAUCUUUUUAGGUACGUGACAUCACUAUUAUUCUCAUUAAUUUUGGUUUUAUGGAAUUUAUUUUACAUUUUCAGUUAGGCAAGAGUAAUUAACUGCAUUAAAAAUAAAUUUAAUAGCAUAGAGAGUAAUAAAUUGUGCCUCCAAAUGUUUUUUUUAUUUUCAUUUCCAAAUUGUGUUGCUACAUCAGGGGGAAAGCCUUUCUCUUUCUUUAAAGCCUACAUCAGGGGGCAAAUUGUGUUUGCCCGUCUUGUUUAAAGUAGAGUUAAAAGUAUAUAGUUGCGCUAUUUCAAUCCAUUUUUAUUUUCACACACACUUUUUAAUUUUGUUUCAAGUACAAAAAUCGGGAAAUGAGCACGCUCCUUUACACCCGAGUACGAAUCUCCCUUACUUGUAGAUUAGAUUAAUUUAGAGUUGUUUAAACUAUUGCUUAUGUAAAAUGUCUUGAAUUUUAAUUGGCACUGCUAUUUUAUUUAUGUAUUUGUUUUGCAAAGCCGGUUACUAUUAGCUAAGUCCCUCCUCAGCUUUUGUAAUAAUAGAUAGAUAGUUACUUUUUCGGGGAAAAUUGAGAAAAGCACAGAAUCUUUCAAAAGAAUGAAUGGGUUGUUAAGCGGUCAUAUGAAAAGGAAAAAAAGCAUCCUGUGUUCGGACACUAGGGUGUAGGAUUUUUACUAAAAGGGGCUGCAGAAAACCCUUCCAUAGAAAGUCCGCAGUGCCCAAAAAGAAUAAAUAUAAAAGAAAAUACAAGUUGUAGUUUUUAUUUGUUGAAAUAUUAUUCUCUAACACUCUUUUUUUACCACUUUGGGAGUGCACUGCACAUACCUAAAACAUAAGUCCCGAAAAAGCUUCGCCCUCCUCAGCGACUUAUUUCUGCAGUUUGGGAUAUUCGACAACUUCUACCAGAUACUUCUCAUACUUUGCGGCGUAUGUUUAUGGGAGCUAAUUCGGUGGUGGAUGCCUUUGAUUACCAUAUUAAUAGUUAGUCAUCGUCAAUGAAAUAUAGUUCAGUUGGUUGAAUUUUCCACCUUCUCUAAUAUGUGGAUAGAUCUCGAUAAAUAUUUGUGUGUAAACUCACCUUUCCCAAUUAAAGAGAAUACCACCGCAGCUAAUCUAAUGAAAUCAGUCGAUCCCUGAAAAUAAACAUCGAUAGACUCUUCAUCACAAGAUCAGCGGCAUAUCCUCUAAGAAUUGAUUUGUAAUUUAUUCUGUAAUACCGAGACCAAAAUCAUCUUGGUCAGUUCGAUUGCUUUGUACUUCUCUCAUCUUCCGUCUUCCUUCUUGAGUUUGUUUUCUUUCAUCAAUCGCUUGUGCUAAAUAUAAAAAAAAAGUUUGUAAUCAGCGUUCUUACAUUUUUAGAGAACCUCUAUGUAAUCUGCUGUGAUUCUUAUUAUUCAAUCUUUCCUUUUUACAAGUCAAUUUUAUCCACAAACACAACAAAAACAAAGACAUAACUUAAAAGGAGAACAAAACAAAAAUCCCAAC